UCCUUCUUCGAGCCUAAUCCAUCGAGCAGCAUCAAUUAGAACCGCCGCCCUCAAUCCCUGACUCCCUCGACUCUUCCCCAUCAACUCAAGCCCUAAAAUUUCAGAUCUGGAAUUUGGGAAUUUUGGGAGAAUUCUUUUGGUAUGCAACUUUUCGUCUGGGGAAUUUUGCUGUUGGUAGAUGAUUAUGCAUACCUAGAUGAAGAUUGGCGGUGCUGCGGCGGUGGAGCGGUAGAUUCGGCUCUAAUUCGUGAAGAAAUUUGGAAACACAAGAUCUAGUCUUUAGCUCUAAUCUGCAUUCUUAUUUUAUUUUUUUCCGUCAAAUUGAAUGUAUUUUUUUUUUGGAAUUUUGGGGAUAUUCAUGCAUCUAGUAAAUCUGAAUAUAUCUGUUCAUUUAGAAAUUGUGAUCUGUUCGUUUAUAAAUUGUGAUAUGUUCAUUUAUAAAUUGUGAUUUUUCG
RNAcentral lists this long non-coding RNA (455 nucleotides) under Salvia miltiorrhiza (redroot sage). Its description in RNAcentral is "long non-coding RNA (SMIL_LNC010783)". Lineage: Eukaryota; Viridiplantae; Streptophyta; Magnoliopsida; Lamiales; Lamiaceae. The record is from RNAcentral.